RNAcentral lists this ribosomal RNA (253 nucleotides) under uncultured prokaryote. RNAcentral describes it as "partial 16S ribosomal RNA". It matches the Rfam family "Bacterial small subunit ribosomal RNA", at positions 524 to 776 of the family's 1533-position model. The record is from RNAcentral.
UACGAAGGAUGCAAGCGUUAUCCGGAAUUAUUGGGUUUAAAGGGUGCGUAGGCGGACUGAUAAGUCAGUGGUGAAAGCCUGCAGCUUAACUGCAGAAUUGCCGUUGAUACUGUCAGUCUUGAGUACAGUUGAGGUAGGCGGAAUGUGUCAUGUAGCGGUGAAAUGCUUAGAUAUGACACAGAACACCGAUUGCGAAGGCAGCUUGCUAAGCUGUAACUGACGCUGAGGCACGAAAGCGUGGGGAGCAAACAGG